Molecule: ribosomal RNA, 405 nt
Filed under: bacterium
Lineage: Bacteria
Description: partial 16S ribosomal RNA
Rfam family: Bacterial small subunit ribosomal RNA
Source: RNAcentral
UAAGGAAUAUUGCGCAAUGGGGGAAACCCUGACGCAGCAACGCCGCGUGGAGGAUGACACUUUUCGGAGCGUAAACUCCUUUUAUCAGGAAAGAAUAAUGACGGUACCUGAUGAAUAAGCACCGGCUAACUCCGUGCCAGCAGCCGCGGUAAUACGGGGGGUGCAAGCGUUACUCGGAAUCACUGGGCGGAUAGGACGCGUAGGCGGAUUAUCAAGUCUUUUGUGAAAUCUAGUGGCUUAACCACUAAACUGCUUAGGAAACUGAUAGUCUAGAGUAGGGGAGAGGUAGAUGGAAUUCUUGGUGUAGGGGUAAAAUCCGUAGAGAUCAAGAAGAAUACCCAUUGCGAAAGCGAUCUGCUGGAACCUAACUGACGCUGAGGCGUGAAAGCGUGGGUAGCAAACAGG